RNAcentral lists this long non-coding RNA (1257 nucleotides) under Helianthus annuus (common sunflower). Its description in RNAcentral is "hypothetical non coding rna". Lineage: Eukaryota; Viridiplantae; Streptophyta; Magnoliopsida; Asterales; Asteraceae. The record is from RNAcentral.
AAAUUUCCUUUCUCACCUCACCUUCUAUUUCGCCAGCCCUCUCUCUUCUAUAUAUAUAUAAAUAUUCAACUUUUAUUAGUAUUUCACCUCAUAAUACUCCAAAGCCCUGUCCCGUUUUAAGUAUUGUAACCCUGGUCACUGAUGCCCUGUCCGACUGACGUAGGGCCCUGUAACGUAUGUUAAGGCUCUGCCUAAAUUCGUUGGGGUUCUGUCUCGUGACGUAGGGAUAAAGUAGAAUUGGGUUACCAUACUUAAUGUGAAUACACUAUAUAGUUUUUUAAAAUAACCCAGGAGUCUUACCCAAAACAUAGCAACCCUCCUAAAACACCCCUGACACCCCUACACUUCCUAAAAUACACCCCAUAUGUGAAAACCGAGCCCGAAAUAUAAUAUAACAAUAAAAAUAAAUGAAAAACAAGAAAUAGUAAGUUGAGGCGGGUCGUGUAGACCCACCCCAACCUUUACGCGGGCGGUAUGAAGAUUGAUACCGGAUUCCUUUGAUUUUCUUAAGUUCAAGCGGGCCGCGUAAGCUACCCGUUAAGUUAACGUGGGCCGCGAGGGACUAAAAAGGUGGCAUAGCCCGGUGCGGCCACGUGUCCCAACACCCGGCUAAGCUAGUUGUCGACUCAGCACAGCUACGCGUUGACCCAACUUUGACGCGGGCCGCGUAAGCUUUGUGCUUAUGUUACGCGGGCCGCGAGAGACCCAGAUUCAGGCACUAUAUAAAGGAGGCAUCGGCUGUCUAUUUCAAUUCGUUCACAAUUCAUUCUCACUGUCAAAAUUCUGAAUUAGAGUUACUAUACUCGGGUAUUAUACCCCUAAUUAGCGAAGCUCUGCCUCGUUGUAAGUAUCAUAACCCCUGGAUACGUAUUAGAUACUCUGCCCGAUUGAUCUAGGGUUCCGUAACGGCUGUCGUGGUUCUGCCUGACGUAGUCGUUGGAAUGCCGUCUCGGGGAGGGUAUUACUAAUGUUAAAAUGGGUUAUUAUACUAACGCGUGUGCAUUGUUUAUUCAACUAGAUUAUAACCAGGAAGCCACAAAGGAAAUACCUAAAAUAGCAAUGUAACACAAUGUGAAAGUCAAUUAGAAUAAAGCCAGCUCGAGAGCACUGACGGCUUGGAAAAAUGUGGGUAUAAAAGUUACCUAAAAGGCGAUGUUUUAAAUUUAAUAAAAUAAGGGUUAUCCCUAUAAACAUGUUGUAAUAAGAAUCUUGGGUUUUACCCGUGUGAUUAUAAAAAUAAAAUAUGGUGGUUUUACU